GGAUGCGAUCAUACCAGCACUAAAGCACCGGAUCCAUCAGAACUCCGCAGUUAAGCGUGCUUGGCGAGAGUAGUACUAGGAUGGGUGACCCCCUGGGAAGUCCUCGUGUUGCAUCCC
RNAcentral lists this ribosomal RNA (117 nucleotides) under Ananas comosus (pineapple). Lineage: Eukaryota; Viridiplantae; Streptophyta; Magnoliopsida; Poales; Bromeliaceae. The record is from RNAcentral.